GGGAGGUUGACCUUUCAAAGAUCAUUAUGAAGAGAAAUGACGGAGUCUGCAAGGGUACACUAACACAGUAUUAUGGCCUUGGGUCAGAAACACGAAGAACGUCGACAUGGGUUCCAGGAACUUAUGGGAUAGAGAUUGGAAAAUCCGAGGAUUUUCCAGAUGGAUACGAAGAGAAGUGGAUGCUUAAUGUACAUGCGAUAGACACCCGAGGUGCAGAGGACCAGUUGGGGUGCACAGAAUGCAAGUGUAGCCUCUAUAAUGUGACCACAGAUAAUAAAGGGCAUCCUCUAGGAAAUGAUUAUAUCGGAGGUUUGUAUUGUUGCAAUGAUGGGACACAAUGUCAGGUAAAACAAGGGUUUAAUGGUGUUGGAAGGAAGCUCUACUUGAGGUACACAGUCCGGUGGGCGGUCUGGGAUGAGAGCAUUGUACCUGUCAAAAUCUAUAUAUUGGAUGUCACUGAUACAAAGAGACGCAUAAAUGAUUCGGCUGAUGGAAAUGUUCGAACUUGCAAGGUGGAAUAUGAAGUCAAGCCAUGCAGUCUUGAAGGUAGCGGAAAUGGUGAGUGUGUUGAUGUUAAGAAGACCGAAGU
This 589-nucleotide unclassified non-coding RNA is filed under the name Hevea brasiliensis (rubber tree). The record is from RNAcentral. Lineage: Eukaryota; Viridiplantae; Streptophyta; Magnoliopsida; Malpighiales; Euphorbiaceae.